This is a small nucleolar RNA of Grammomys surdaster, 127 nucleotides long. RefSeq annotates it as small nucleolar RNA SNORA17. Lineage: Eukaryota; Metazoa; Chordata; Mammalia; Rodentia; Muridae. The transcript has a single exon. The record is from RefSeq and is a predicted model, not a curated record.
UCUGCCCCUAGAGCUGUUGCAGAUGUUGCUGCUGUGUCACAUGCCACAGUAAGUGGCAGAGAGGAGAGACUAUGUAUAGGCUCUGUGUUCAGACUGCAAGCAUCUGAAUGAUUAGUAGCCUACCUUU